Molecule: ribosomal RNA, 291 nt
Filed under: Triticum aestivum (bread wheat)
Lineage: Eukaryota; Viridiplantae; Streptophyta; Magnoliopsida; Poales; Poaceae
Description: partial small subunit ribosomal RNA
Source: RNAcentral
AUGCACUUGGUCUGUCAGGCUGACGCUGAGAUGAGCUUUGAGGUACCGAGCCUGGAGGGAGUGGAGGCACUGGACCCAGCGCUGGCCAACGACGCCCAGAAGCUGUGCAGCGUGAGGGGCAUGGACGUGGAAGGUGGUGUGGGCCCCUUCGGCCUGUGGGUUCUCGCCUCCUCCAAGCUGGAGGAGAGAAUAGCGAUCUUCUUCCGGGUGUUCAAGGCCGCGCACAACAUCAACAGCACGAAGCUGGUGGUCCUGAUGUGCUCCGAUCCCACCAUGUCAUCUCUGAGCUAG